GCUUUAGCACUGGGGACUUUUGGUGAUUGGAGUGGAAGACUGGGCAGGGUUAGAUGUUCUGUGCAAAUCUUGGGACAUAUUUUAAGGUCCCUCAAUACUGGAGCUGGCAUCUUUUCCCUCUCUCGCCCUCCACCAGCAGGAGUCAUCGUCUUUCACAUGUCUGCUGUCUGGUUGGUCUUCUCCCACCCUGACAAUUGCUUCCUUUCCAUUUUUCAUGAAGAGAGAGCUGGUGGGUCAAGCUAAUUGCUACUGAACUAUUGCUUUCUGCACCUGGUGCUCCAUCAGCCUGUGGUCAUCUUUGGAAUUGGAUGCCCUUGAGUCAGGCGCCCAUCCAUGUCCAACUGGGAUCUCAACUGCAGUCAGGCUGGGGUUCAGCUGCAGGCUCCAGCACACAGCCAGCAUUCCUGCUUCGGUCCUUCCACGGCACAGGGGAACGUGCAUAUGACUGAGUCUUCCUAGCUGCCGAGGAGGAGACGUGAGAAGCAAUGGAGGGGAAACUGAACAUGAGACAUUCGCCUUUCUGACCCCCACUCAUUUCAGCUGCCUGUCACAUCGCCGCAGGAUAGCAACUCUCCUGCGCAGCAGGCAUUCAGGAGCCAGGCCACACACCAGGAUCUGUCCUUCUAUCUAGCACCCUGUGCCUACUCUGAGGUUAGCAACAAGUGGCAACCUCUUCCUUCCUACAGACAAGAAGGUGACUGGCGCUUCCCAGCCCAUUAUUCCAGCCCACGCAGAGUGAGGUUAAUGGAACUGAGAUGAAGCUGGCUGGCGGGAGAGGGAGAGCCCUGAGGGGACCACACAGCUCAUCUUCCAUCCCUCAGCCUGCUCUUCCCCCACCCCAAGCUCUGGGCAUCUCUGUCCAAAGACAGAGAUGGGAAGGGCAGAGGGAUAAAGGGGUCUUACACUCUUACCAACAGAUUCUGCAGGGAGGGGUGCUGUCAGCUUGGUUAUCAUUAGGAAAGAUCAGUUUGUAAUGCCCUUAGACAGUUCUGUGAUUGGCUUGUGGGUACAGACGGAGGUAGACUGCUCAUCUCCACAAUGAAUCUGCUUCUUGGUAGGAGUGGUCCUAAAAGGGCAAGAGAGAAGGAGAGCGCCCACACGGAAUGAAUGGAUCUGGCAGCCUGGAUUCCAGGAAAGAUCUUUGAUGCCUGAGUAGAAAGUGCUUGAAGAGCUACAGACAGGGCUGAGGUCAGAGGUCAGAGGUCAGAGGUAAUCUGUAGUGGAAACAGGAGGUGAGAAAGCCUUCAUCUUCUAGAUGAACUGAGACCGGAACCGCAGAUUUCACAGAUGAAACUGGGCACGCUUCGUAACUCGAGCCCUGGGUAGAGCAUCACACUUGUUGAUCUGAAGGCCAUCCGGCUGCUCAGAUGACUUUCCUGCUGAUGAGGAAAGAAACACCCUCCCGGCUUCACCCCAUGACUUGUUGGGCAAUGGUGCAACACUGAGGUUCAUUGCAGUCUAAGAGACUCUUCCAUGAUCCCGCUCUUUUACCAGUCACAUCCUCCUACAUGGAAUAUACACAAUAUGCACACACACACACACACACAGAGAGAGAGAGAGAGAGAGAGAGAGAGAGAGAGAGAGAGAGAGAGGGAGAGAGGGAGAGAGGGAGAGAGAAAGAGAGAGAGGGAGAGAGAACAACUCACUACAUGGACCUGAGCCCACUUAGGACAGAAAGAAUAGGUUGUUUAGGAAGCACUUCAGGUUGGAUACCCAGAGGGGCUUUUAAACACAAAUAGAACAAUUUCAUCUCUGACUGGUGCUCUGUGUACCUGAUACUGCAUCUACCAUUGCGAAUGAAGAGCCACCUCAGAAGGUUCUAGGAGGUCCCGGCCAGCAGAGAGGACUAGAAACCAAUAACCCGGCCAUCUUGGAAAAACAAUAACCUGUCUCAGCACUGCACUGUGGGUUUUUGUUCUGGACUCAGGGCCCUUCUGCCAAAACAGAAUCGAAGCUGGGGCUGGAGGUGUGGACCUAGAGACAGCCGUGUUUGGAAAGUCUCUUUAGUAGGUAUGGCUGUGGAUAGAAGCACAUAGGUGCUGCCUCCCAGCAUAUGCAAGCUCUUCCUAGUCUCCCACUUUCAGUAGAUGCUAAGUGGAGAUGGUUUGGACAAUGUGUGCCUGAACUCUUGGUUCAAAGAUAUAUUCUGAUCACUGGCUUAUAAAAGUCUAGACUUUG
Molecule: long non-coding RNA, 2178 nt
Filed under: Mus musculus (house mouse)
Lineage: Eukaryota; Metazoa; Chordata; Mammalia; Rodentia; Muridae
Description: predicted gene, 36799
Source: RNAcentral